Homo sapiens (human) is the source of this 1280-nucleotide long non-coding RNA. RefSeq annotates it as HEXD intronic transcript 1. NCBI's taxonomy places the organism in Eukaryota, Metazoa, Chordata, Mammalia, Primates, Hominidae. The record is from RefSeq and is marked validated. The transcript has a single exon.
GGGCUAGAGAAGGCUGGAGGAGGCCAGGGAAGGUCAGAGGAGGCUGGAGAAGGCUGGAGGAGGCUGUAGAAGGCUGAGCUAGAGAAGGCUGGAGGAUGCUGGAGGAGGCCUCCGCGCAGGGAGGGGCUGCUCUUCAGGCCACAGUUGAGCCUUGAGUUAGAGAAGAGAAGAAUUAAAGGGGAGAGAAUCAAAAUCAAUAAAAUCAGGUGUGGUGGAGAUGGGAGGCCCCUGCUUAAUGCUAAAAUCACAGGUCUCUGUGAAAAUCAAUAACGGCCCCAAAGAUAAAUGCACAAUGGACAUUAACUGGCCAAUCCCAAAGGAAGAAACAAAAAAGGCCAAUAAGCAUAUAAGAAAAUGUGAAGGCCAGGAGCAGUGGCUCACGCCUGUAAUCCCAGCAAUUUGGGAGGCCAAGGUGGGCAGAUCACUGGAGCUCAGGAGUUUGAGACCAGCCUGGGUAACAUGGUAAAACCCCAUCUCUAUGUGAAAUACAAAAAUUAGGCCGGGUGCAGUGGCUCACGCCUAUAAUCCCAGCACUUUGGGAGGCCGAGGUGGGUGGAUCACUUGAGCUCAGGAGUUCGAGACCAGCCUGGGCAACAUGGUGAAACCCCAUCUCUACAUAAAAUGCAAAAAAUAGCCAUGGAUAGUGGCAUGGGGCUGUAGUCCAAGCUACUCAGGAGGCUGAGAUAGGAGGAUGGCUUGAGCCUGGUGUUAGGUUUUUUUAAAGGGAAGGCGAGGGUUAAAGAAAGACAGAGAGAGAGAGGGCGUCUCUACAGCAACAGAGGUAUAGUGCAGAAACCUACAGAGGGGGGACCAGCUUAAUGCCAGAGCCCACCGCCGCUUACAGGCUGGGGUACUUACAGGCCUGGACGGGAGGGGUUUGGGCAGUAGGGCUUCUGCCUGGGAAGAUGUUGAGAGAUGUUCCCAUGAUGAGGCAGUUGGGUCCUUGUUCCCAGCAGAAUAUGAUCAGGAUGUUCCUUCAGCUGGGCCUUUGCCCAGCAAGGUAUGUUCGGGAUGUUCCUGGGCCGUGUGGUCGGGUGGUCGGGAUGUUCCUGGGCCGUGUGGUCAGGAUGUUGGGCAGGAUGUUCCUCACAGCCCAAACCCCGUGGAAUGUUUCACUUCAACCUGGGUCUGGAAAACAGCAGGGGGCUUACAAAAUGGUGCAGUUUGGAUUAACACCCAGGACCCAGAGGCUGCAGUGAGCUGAGAUGGCGCCACUGCACUCCAACCUGGGCAACAGAGCCAGAGCCUGUCUCAAAAGAAAAGGAAAGAAAGAAAGAAAA